This 468-nucleotide ribosomal RNA is filed under the name uncultured bacterium. RNAcentral describes it as "partial 16S ribosomal RNA". It matches the Rfam family "Bacterial small subunit ribosomal RNA", at positions 28 to 507 of the family's 1533-position model. The record is from RNAcentral.
GACGAACGCUGGCGGCGUGCUUAACACAUGCAAGUCGAACGGAAAGGCCCUGCUUUUGUGGGUUGCUCGAGUGGCGAACGGGUGAGUAACACGUGAGUAUCCUGCCCUUGUCUUUGGGAUAACUUCAGGAAACUGGGGCUAAUACCGGAUAGGAGCUCCUGCUGCAUGGUGGGGGUUGGAAAGUUUCGGCGGUUUGGGAUGGACUCGCGGCUUAUCAGCUUGUUGGUGGGGUAGUGGCUUACCAAGGCUUUGACGGGUAGCCGGCCUGAGAGGGUUACCGGGCACAUUGGGACUGAGAGACGGCGCAGAAGCCAAAGGGAGGCAGCAGGGGGGAAUAUUACACAAUGGGGGGAAGCCUGAUGCAGAGACGCCGCGUGCGGGAUGACGGCUUUCGGGUUAUAAACAGAUUUCGCAUGUGACGAAGAGGGAGUGACGGUAAUGGGUAAAGAAGCAACGGCUAACUACGUG